This 969-nucleotide ribosomal RNA is filed under the name Triticum aestivum (bread wheat). RNAcentral describes it as "partial small subunit ribosomal RNA". Lineage: Eukaryota; Viridiplantae; Streptophyta; Magnoliopsida; Poales; Poaceae. The record is from RNAcentral.
AUGGACCUGUUCGUGCCGCCGGAGGGCGAUUCAGAAAAGAGGAUUAGCCAUGGGCAGAUGGAGGGUGCUGCUGUUGCGCACCCUAUAGAGUCCCAGGCAUCUAUCAGCGUCGCCCAGGGCGACAUCCGCCGUGCCGGAGACCUCUGCAGCGGCGGCGGAAAUGCUGGAUCUGUCGGCGAGGGCCCGCUUUUGCAAGUGUGCUCAGAGGCUACCAGCAGAUGGACACACAGAGUAAGGAUCAGGAAAGCCCCUGCGGAGCGAGAGCUAAAUCCUAACCGGAAAAGUGCUCUUGAACUAUCGAUGAGGGCGUUCAUAAGUAAACGAGAUGGCAAUGUAGUCAACCCAGCAGUCGGAACUUCAUUUGAUUCACUAGAUGAGGCGUAUCAAUUCUACAAUUUGUAUUCGUGGGAGGUUGGAUUUGGCAUAAGGUAUUCGAAAAGCAGGCUAAAUGUGGAGAGGGUGAAGUGCAUGCAGGAGAUUGUAUGUGGAUGCGCGGGUAAACCGAAGAGGGAGAAUACAAGAUCAACUAGGUGCGGCUGUGCUGCCAGGAUUAGGCUACUGAGGUCGGAUGACAAUGGAUGGUAUAUUUCAGAGCACAUGCCUCUUCACAACCACUCUCUCUCAAGUACUUGUGGCGAGAAAAUGCACUGGCCUUCACACAGGCUCAUUGAUCGCUACACUAAAGAUCUUGUUACGCAGCUGAGAGAAAACAAUGUUAGCCUUGGAAAGGUUUUUAGCAUAGUUGGUAGUUUUUUUGGAUCAGUUGACAAUGUGCCAUUUACAAAAAGGUCAUUGAAGACGCUGUGCUGCAAGCUAAACAAAGAACAGUCUGAUUCAGAUGCCCGGAAGACACUGGACAUACUUGCAGAGAUGAAGGCAAACGAUCCAGAAUUCAAUUAUACUGUCCAAGUUGAUGAUGAGAGCAGAAUAAAAACACUUAUGUGGGUUAACGGGCGCAGUGUAGAAUAG